This 68-nucleotide transfer RNA is filed under the name Marmota monax (woodchuck). RNAcentral's name for it is "tRNA.Ala". The record is from RNAcentral. Lineage: Eukaryota; Metazoa; Chordata; Mammalia; Rodentia; Sciuridae.
GUUGUGGCUCAGUGGUAGAGCACUUGCCUGGCAUCUAUGAAGCCCUGGGUUCCAUCCUCAGCCCCACA